ACCAGACUCCUACGGGAGGCAGCAGUGGGGAAUAUUGCACAAUGGGGGAAACCCUGAUGCAGCGACGCCGCGUGAGUGAAGAAGUAUUUCGGUAUGUAAAGCUCUAUCAGCAGGGAAGAAAAUGACGGUACCUGAUUAAGAAGCCCCGGCUAACUACGUGCCAGCAGCCGCGGUAAUACGUAGGGGGCAAGCGUUAUCCGGAUUUACUGGGUGUAAAGGGAGCGUAGACGGCAGCGCAAGUCUGAAGUGAAAUGCCGGGGCUUAACCCCGGAACUGCUUUGGAAACUUUUUUGCUGGAGUACCGGAGAGGUAAGCGGAAUUCCUAGUGUAGCGGUGAAAUGCGUAGAUAUUAGGAGGAACACCAGUGGCGAAGGCGGCUUACUGGACGGUAACUGACGUUGAGGCUCGAAAGCGUGGGGAGCAAACAGGAUUAGAUACCCCUGUACC
This 447-nucleotide ribosomal RNA is filed under the name uncultured bacterium. RNAcentral's name for it is "bacterial SSU rRNA". It matches the Rfam family "Bacterial small subunit ribosomal RNA", at positions 330 to 794 of the family's 1533-position model. The record is from RNAcentral.